This 492-nucleotide ribosomal RNA is filed under the name uncultured bacterium. RNAcentral describes it as "partial 16S ribosomal RNA". It matches the Rfam family "Bacterial small subunit ribosomal RNA", at positions 29 to 507 of the family's 1533-position model. The record is from RNAcentral.
AGUGAACGCUGGCGGUAGGCCUAACACAUGCAAGUCGAACGGCAGCACAGUAAGAGCUUGCUCUUACGGGUGGCGAGUGGCGGACGGGUGAGGAAUACAUCGGAAUCUACUUUUUCGUGGGGGAUAACGUAGGGAAACUUACGCUAAUACCGCAUACGACCUACGGGUGAAAGCAGGGGAUCUUCGGACCUUGCGCGAUUGAAUGAGCCGAUGUCGGAUUAGCUAGUUGGCGGGGUAAAGGCCCACCAAGGCGACGAUCCGUAGCUGGUCUGAGAGGAUGAUGGGCCACACUGGAACGGAGGCACGGCCCACACGCCUACGGGAGGCAGCAGUGGGGAAGAUUGGACAAUGGUGGCAGGCCUGAUCCAGCCAUGCCGCGGGGGUGAAGAUGGCCUUCUGGUUGUAAAGCCCUUUUGUUGGGAAAGAAAAGCAGCAGGUUAAUACCCCGCUGUUCUGACGGUACCUAAAGAAUAAGCACCGGCUAACUACGUG